Molecule: unclassified non-coding RNA, 689 nt
Filed under: uncultured Prochlorococcus sp.
Lineage: Bacteria; Bacillati; Cyanobacteriota; Cyanophyceae; Synechococcales; Prochlorococcaceae
Description: partial may contain 16S ribosomal RNA, 16S-23S ribosomal RNA intergenic spacer, and 23S ribosomal RNA
Rfam family: Bacterial small subunit ribosomal RNA (bases 1-95)
Source: RNAcentral
CCUUGUGGAGGAGGACGCCGAAGGUGGGGCUAAUGACUGGGGUGAAGUCGUAACAAGGUAGCCGUACCGGAAGGUGCGGCUGGAUCACCUCCUAACAGGGAGACAACAAAAUGUUAAAUAUUAAUUUUGUCACCUUAGGUCGAUCGGUAUCUCAGAUUCUUAAUUAUUUUAAGAAUUUCAUUUCCUAAGUUUUUUCUAGGUCACACCCAUUACUUUUCCUGGGCCAUUAGCUCAGGUGGUUAGAGCGCACCCCUGAUAAGGGUGAGGUCCCUGGUUCAAGUCCAGGAUGGCCCAUAUCUCUAUGUUGGGGGUAUAGCUCAGUUGGUAGAGCGCCUGCUUUGCAAGCAGGAUGUCAGCGGUUCGAGUCCGCUUACCUCCACUGAUUACCACCUCUUCCAUAAAUUUUAAAGAAGGGAAUUGUUAUUAGAUGUGAUUUAGUUCUGAACGAAUCUAGCUUCCUAAUAAAUAUAUUAAGAUGCUGGACUCAUUGAAUUUUAUUCAUUGUUUUCAGAGAACCUUGACAACUGCAUAGAUUAUUUUUAAAGACAAUAAGCAUCUUUAAUGAUGCAGAUUUAUUAUUUGUGCUAAUGCAUUAAUAACAAUUCUAUUGAGCUGAUGCUUCAAUUUUUUGAAGUUAUUGGUCAAGCUACAAAGGGCUCACGGAGGAUACCUAGGCACACAGAGGCGAU